CCUACGUGCGGCAGCAGUGAGGAAUAUUGGUCAAUGGACGCAAGUCUGAACCAGCCAUGCCGCGUGUAGGAAGACGGCUCUAUGAGUUGUAAACUGCUUUUGUACGAGGGUAAACGCAGAUACGCGUAUCUGUCUGACAGUAUCGUCCGAAUAAGGAUCGGCUAACUCCGUGCCAGCCACCGCGGUAAUACGGAGGAUUCAAGCGUUAUCCGGAUUUAUUGGGUUUAACGGGUGCGUAGGCGGUCGGAUAAGUUAGAGGUGAAAUCCCGAGGCUCAACUUCGGAAUUGCCUUUGAUACUGUUCGGCUAGAGAGUAGUUGCGGUAGGCGGAAUGUAUGGUGUAGCGGUGAAAUGCUUAGAGAUCAUACAGAACACCGAUUGCGAAGGCAGCUUACCAAGCUACUUCUGACGUUGAGGCACGAAAGCGUGGGGAGCAAACAGGAUUAGAUACCCGAGUAGUC
RNAcentral lists this ribosomal RNA (460 nucleotides) under uncultured bacterium. RNAcentral describes it as "partial 16S ribosomal RNA". It matches the Rfam family "Bacterial small subunit ribosomal RNA", at positions 338 to 795 of the family's 1533-position model. The record is from RNAcentral.